UAUGAUGAUAAUGAUGAUGAAGAUGAUGAUUAUGGAGCGUUGAAGAUAAGGUUCCAGGCUUUAAGGCCACUUGGCCAGUGAGAGUUUGUGUUUGUGGUAUAUGUUUGGCCUUUCCAUAACUCUUUUUUCUUUUCUUCUUCACCAACCAUUCAUGUCAACUUACAAACCCAACACUUUUGUCUGCAUUUACAACACAAACUUAGUAUUUUUAUUGCAACCUACGUAAUCAUUUACUACACUUUGUGUGUUGUUGCCUCUCUUAACCUAGCAUCCAUUUCUCUAUCAU
Molecule: long non-coding RNA, 286 nt
Filed under: Vigna radiata
Lineage: Eukaryota; Viridiplantae; Streptophyta; Magnoliopsida; Fabales; Fabaceae
Description: long non-coding RNA (VRAD_LNC005698)
Source: RNAcentral